This 1083-nucleotide ribosomal RNA is filed under the name uncultured Rhizaria. Its description in RNAcentral is "bacterial SSU rRNA". It matches the Rfam family "Eukaryotic small subunit ribosomal RNA", at positions 577 to 1674 of the family's 1831-position model. The record is from RNAcentral.
CGGUAAUUCCAGCUCCAAUAGCGUAUACUAAAGUUGUUGCAGUUAAAAAGCUCGUAGUUGGAUUUCUGCGCGGGUGGGGCGUCCGCCGGCCUAAGGUCGGGUUGGGCAGCAACGCCUGUGCAUCCUGCCACGAUCCACGCUACCAUUCGUUUGGUGGCGUUGGGGACUGGCUCGAUUACUUUGAAAAAACUCAAAUGCUCCAAGUAGGUAACUGCCUCUGCAGAUUCUAGCAUGGAAUAAUGAUUAAGGACUUUGGUUCUAUUUUGUUGGUGUUCGGGACCGAAGUAAUGAUUGAUAGGGGCAGUUGGGGGCGUCUGUAUUCUGAAGCGAGAGGUGAAAUUCUUAGACCUUCGGAAGACAAACAGCUGCGAAAGCGUUCGCCAAGGAUGUUCCCUUUGAUCAAGAACGAAAGUUGGGGGAUCGAAGACGAUCAGAUACCGUCGUAGUCUCAACUAUAAACUAUACCAGCUAGGGAUCGGCCAACGUUGAUCUACAAAGACUUGGUCGGCACCUUAUGAGAAAUCGAUAGCAUUUGGGUUCCGGGGGGAGUAUGGUCGCAAGGCUGAAACUUAAAGGAAUUGACGGAAGGGUACCACCAGGCGUGGAGCCUGUGGCUUAAUUUGACUCAACACGGGGAAACUUACCAGGUCCAGACAUAGGAAGGAUUGACAGAUUGACAGCUUUUUCUUGAUUCUAUGGGUGGUGGUGCAUGGCCGUUCUUAGUUGGUGGAGUGAUUUGUCUGGUUAAUUCCGUUAACGAACGAGACCCCAGCCUGCUAAAUAGCGCGCGUGGCUUCUGGCCGCGGCGAGCUUCUUAGAGGGACUACGGUUCGCCAUAGACCGGGGAAGUUUGGGGCAAUAACAGGUCUGUGAUGCCCUUAGAUGUUCUGGGCCGCACACGGGCUACACUGACGCGUGCAACGAGCAUAUCAGCUGGCCCGAGAGGGCAUGGGCUAAUCUUUUGAACUCGCGUCGUGCUAGGGAUUGACCAUUGCAAUUGUUGGUCAUGCAACGAGGAAUGCCUUGUAAACGCGAGUCAUCAACUCGCAUUGAAUACGUCCCUGCCCUUUGUACACACCGCCC